UACGUAGGGGGCGAGCGUUGCCCGAAUUUACUGGGCGUAAAGCGCACGUAGGCGGCUUCGUAAGUCUGGUGUGAAAUCUCACGGCUCAACCGGGAGGCUGCACCAGAUACUGCGGAGCUCGAGGACGGGAGAGGAGAUCGGAAUUCCCGGUGUAGCGGUGAAAUGCAUUGAUAUCGGGAGGAACACCAGUGGCGAAGGCGGAUCUCUGGCCCGUUGCUGACGCUGAGGUGCGAAAGCUGGGGGAGCGAAAGGG
Molecule: ribosomal RNA, 253 nt
Filed under: uncultured bacterium
Lineage: Bacteria
Description: partial 16S ribosomal RNA
Rfam family: Bacterial small subunit ribosomal RNA
Source: RNAcentral